RNAcentral lists this ribosomal RNA (402 nucleotides) under Candidatus Thalassarchaeaceae archaeon. RNAcentral's name for it is "bacterial SSU rRNA". It matches the Rfam family "Archaeal small subunit ribosomal RNA", at positions 1075 to 1478 of the family's 1478-position model. The record is from RNAcentral. Lineage: Archaea; Methanobacteriati; Thermoplasmatota; Candidatus Poseidoniia; Candidatus Poseidoniales; Candidatus Thalassarchaeaceae.
UACUCCGGUAAUCACAGGACUAUAGGGAGACCGCUGGCGCGAAGUCAGAGGAAGGCGAGGGCAACGGUAGGUCAGUAUGCUCCGAAUGCUCUGGGCUACACGCGCAAUACAAAGGACGGGACAAUGGGCCGCUGUACCGAAAGGACUCGGCUAUCCCGAAACCCGUUCGUAGUUCGGAUUGAGGGCUGUAACUCGCCCUCAUGAAGCUGGAUUAGGUAGUAAUCGCGUCUCAAAAAGGCGCGGUGAAUAUGCCCCUGCUCCUUGCACACACCGCCCGUCAAACCAUCUUAGUUGGGGGUGGGUGAGGCUGCCUUUUAGUGGGGUAUUCGAGCCUGCCUUCGACAAGGAGGGUUAAGUCGUAACAAGGUAUCUGUAGGGGAACCUGCAGAUGGAUCACCUCCU